This 87-nucleotide transfer RNA is filed under the name Lentisphaerae bacterium ADurb.Bin082. RNAcentral's name for it is "tRNA-Leu". It matches the Rfam family "tRNA". From Rfam's summary of the family: Transfer RNA (tRNA) molecules are approximately 80 nucleotides in length. Their secondary structure includes four short double-helical elements and three loops (D, anti-codon, and T loops). Further hydrogen bonds mediate the characteristic L-shaped molecular structure. tRNAs have two regions of fundamental functional importance: the anti-codon, which is responsible for specific mRNA codon recognition, and the 3' end, to which the tRNAs corresponding amino acid is attached (by aminoacyl-tRNA synthetases). tRNAs cope with the degeneracy of the genetic code in two manners: having more than one tRNA (with a specific anti-codon) for a particular amino acid; and 'wobble' base-pairing, i.e. permitting non-standard base-pairing at the 3rd anti-codon position. RNAcentral also lists the same sequence under 2 other names. The record is from RNAcentral. Lineage: Bacteria; Pseudomonadati; Lentisphaerota.
GCUCGGGUGGCGGAAUUGGCAGACGCGCUAGGUUGAGGGCCUAGUGGAGUAAAAUCCGUGCGGGUUCAAAUCCCGCUCCGAGUACCA